Molecule: long non-coding RNA, 1055 nt
Filed under: Triticum aestivum (bread wheat)
Lineage: Eukaryota; Viridiplantae; Streptophyta; Magnoliopsida; Poales; Poaceae
Description: long non-coding RNA (TAES_LNC027889)
Source: RNAcentral
UGAUGGGCCAGAUAGUAAUCAACCUAAUUAGAAAUUAAAUCCAUUAAUUUCAGGUAAAGCCCACUAAUUUCAGUCAAGGACAUUGACCCAUCUCUCAUUUUUGUUGGUCCAUGGAAAUUUUAAGCCAACAAUAAUUUGACAGAAAAUAUAUGCUCCUGUAAUUAAAAAAAGUAAAUUACAUAAACACACCCGAAAAUACACAAUUGUACAGGAGCAAAAAGAAAAGACGCAGAAAAGCUUAAUUUUACAAGCAUAUCUAGAAGAACACUAUGCUCUACUCCACACAACCAGCACCGGCGCCCAUAAAGCAAGGCCAAGCGCUUGCCGUACAUCAACCAUGAGUCAUCCUGCCUUUCUAGCCGCAUAUCUGCCCAUCCAUGCUAAAGUCAUCAGAACGCAUGUCGUUGCUAUUGAAUACUCCCAUGCACCAAUAUCUCCCACAUGAUGAAAAAUAUGUCACUUUAUAUAAGAUUAUACGGUCAGUAAGUAAACUAGAAGUAGCCACAUUAUAAGUUCUAUAUUUUUCACUCCCUACGUGCAAAGUACUGCAAAAAAUUGACAGUCACCACCGAUGAGGGGGCUAAAACCAUAGUUACAUGUGCGCCGACGAACCGUAAGACGGGCUUGGAAAAUCAGAAGAAGAAGGAAGGGGUAAAUCAGAAGCAAAAUGGAAGGAGGGGGAACCUCGCCAAUUAACUAACGAUGAGGAUACCUGACGCGUGCCGCGCGCCUGUGAAUCGGAGAGAGCAUACCUACACAACGCAUCCCCCAGCGGGCUGCUGGGCGUAGCACCCCAGUGACAGACGCGUGCCUGGCAGCGAUGAAGGGGCGGCGGUCGCCCAGCACGGCGCAGCCCCUGUCCGUCGUAGCACAAAUCCACCAGGCCAGACCGGCUCGAUGCGGCUACCUCGCAGCUUAGCACAUCUCCACGGGACUGAUCGGGAUAGGCGAGGUAGGGAGAGGCAUCCGUUGGGAGAUAGGGAUAGGUGUGCGGCAUGGGGGAAAGAAACCUGGCGGCUGGGAGAUAGGGUGAGGCAUCUUGGAGGGUUCUGGAA